Triplophysa rosa is the source of this 750-nucleotide long non-coding RNA. RefSeq lists it as uncharacterized. NCBI's taxonomy places the organism in Eukaryota, Metazoa, Chordata, Actinopteri, Cypriniformes, Nemacheilidae. The record is from RefSeq and is a predicted model, not a curated record. The transcript is spliced from 4 exons.
GGAUUAUGAGACAUUCUUUAAUGCUAAGGAGGACAACGCAGUCUAUGAAUUUUUGGGUCUGACACCUCCACCAGGAUCAAAGAGAAAAGUAGCUGAGGAGGAAAACCAGGAUGAAGGAGAUGAAGACAAGGGAGAGGACAACCAUCUGGUCUCAGAGGUGAAUCUUAAUUUAUAUUUAUUUUGUUCUGGAACUGACUCCUCUAGUCCUAUUUCUCAUCUUGCCGACAACAAUCUUUCUUCACUCUUCUAUUUUCCUCUUUCGUAAUCUUUGCAUAAUUUUCUCCUUCCUCUUCACGGAUAACUCGCUACACUUCUUCUGGCCUUUAGAAACAUUUUCAUUCAGAAGGUGAAUCACUGGAAACAUGUGUUUUGCUUGUCUUCUUUUUCUCUUUCUUUAUAGGUGACAUGGAUGCUAUUUAUAUUGUUGUUGUUGUGUUGAUUUAUCUCUUCCCAGUGAUAACUUGUCUUGUUCCUUAUUAAUUUAUCUCGACAACUAAGUCAUUCAUAGACUGACUUUGUGAAACACUUUUAGAACACUGUGGCACUUUCAAAAAAGUUGUUUGUUUGAGCAGUCCAGUUAAGUGGUCUUGCUCAAAACAAUGGGAUGCAUUUCAGCAGGGGCACCUGUUUGUGUGACCAAUGACCAGUGUUGGGUGUAACUAUUUACUAAGUAAUUAGUUACUGUAAUUUAAUUACUUUUCCCUUGAAAAAGUAAAGCAAGGGAUUACUCUUAUUUUUUCAGUAAUUUAA